GCAGGAUAUAAAAAAUGAGGAGAGCAUGGCAUUGGAGGGACAAGGCUGGCCUAAUGUGUUUUGGGUGAGUGAGACCACCAGGCAGCUUUGGGUUACCAGGAGAUGAAAGUCUGCUACCAAAACCAAACACAAACCAGGACAAUGCUGGCAGAAAAAAUAAGAGUGAACACAAAUCCAAAUGCUCUGUAAGAGAUUUGAAGCAAUUGUGCAAAUGAUUACCAUUAGGAGCAGGAGCUAAGUAAAACCAAUUGCUUAAAAAUUACUAGUCAUAGCUGGUUUCCUCCAUUAUUUUUCCCAUUGC
This 301-nucleotide long non-coding RNA is filed under the name Phasianus colchicus (ring-necked pheasant). RNAcentral describes it as "lncRNA (ENSPCLG00000001959.1)". The record is from RNAcentral. Lineage: Eukaryota; Metazoa; Chordata; Aves; Galliformes; Phasianidae.